Molecule: ribosomal RNA, 446 nt
Filed under: uncultured bacterium
Lineage: Bacteria
Description: partial 16S ribosomal RNA
Rfam family: Bacterial small subunit ribosomal RNA
Source: RNAcentral
CCUACGGGUGGCAGCAGUCGAGAAUCAUUCACAAUGGGCGAAACCCUGAUGGUGCGACGCCGCGUGGAGGAAUGAAGGUCUUCGGAUGUUAAGCACCUGUCGUCUGGGAGAAAGUGAAAAAGAUAGUACCACAGGAAGAAGAGGCGACUAACACGGUGCUAGCAGCCGCGGUAAUACAGAGGUGUCAAGCGUUGUUGGGAAUCACUGGGCGUAAAGCGUACGCAGGCUGUUUCGUAAGGCGUGUGUGAAAGGCCCGGGCUCAACCCGAGGCCUGCAAAUGAUACUGGGAGAUUAGAGUAAUGGAGGGGGAGACAGAAUUCCCGGUGUAGCAGUGAAAUGCGUAGAGAUCUAGAGGAAUACCGGUGGCGAAGGCGGGUUCCUGGACAUUAACUGACGCUGAGGUACGAAGGCCAGGGGAGCGAAAGGGAUUAGAUACCCUUGUAGUC